ACGGGAGGCAGCAGUGGGGGAUAUUGCACAAUGGAGGAAACUCUGAUGCAGCAACGCCGCGUGAGGGAAGAAGGUCUUCGGAUUGUAAACCUUUGUUUUAGUGAAGAAAUAAAUGACGGUAGCUAAAGAGGAAGACACGGCUAACUACGUGCCAGCAGCCGCGGUAAUACGUAGGUGGCAAGCGUUGUCCGGAUUUACUGGGUGUAAAGGGUGCGCAGGCGGGACUGCAAGUUGGAUGUGAAAUACCGAGGCUUAACCACGGAGCUGCAUCCAAAACUGUUGUUCUUGAGUGGAGUAGAGGUAAGCGGAAUUCCGAGUGUAGCGGUGAAAUGCGUAGAUAUUCGGAUGAACACCAGUGGCGAAGGCGGCUUACUGGGCUCUAACUGACGCUGAGGCACGAAAGUGUGGGUAGCAAACAGGAUUAGAUACCCUGGUA
RNAcentral lists this ribosomal RNA (436 nucleotides) under uncultured Clostridium sp. RNAcentral's name for it is "partial 16S ribosomal RNA". It matches the Rfam family "Bacterial small subunit ribosomal RNA", at positions 341 to 792 of the family's 1533-position model. Lineage: Bacteria; Bacillati; Bacillota; Clostridia; Eubacteriales; Clostridiaceae. The record is from RNAcentral.